UACGUAGGGGGCGAGCGUUGUCCGGAUUCAUUGGGCGUAAAGCGCUUUAAGGCGGUUCGCUAAGUCGCGUGUGAAACCUCCAGGCUCAACCUGGAGACGCCACGCGAUACUGAUCGACUGGAAGGCAGGAGAGGGUAGUGGAAUUCCCGGUGUAGUGGUGAAAUGCGUAGAUAUCGGGAGGAACACCCGUGGCGAAGGCGGCUCUCUGGGACGGUACUGACGCUGAGACGCGAAAGCGUGGGGAGCGAACAGG
This 253-nucleotide ribosomal RNA is filed under the name uncultured bacterium. Its description in RNAcentral is "partial 16S ribosomal RNA". It matches the Rfam family "Bacterial small subunit ribosomal RNA", at positions 524 to 776 of the family's 1533-position model. The record is from RNAcentral.